This 508-nucleotide ribosomal RNA is filed under the name uncultured bacterium. Its description in RNAcentral is "bacterial SSU rRNA". It matches the Rfam family "Bacterial small subunit ribosomal RNA", at positions 8 to 526 of the family's 1533-position model. The record is from RNAcentral.
AGAGUUUGAUCCUGGCUCAGGAUGAACGCUGGCGGCGUGCCUAAUACAUGCAAGUCGAACGAGGUGCUUUUGUAGCAAUACGAGAGUAUCCUAGUGGCGAACGGGUGAGUAACGCGUUGGUGACCUACCCCAAAGUGUGGGAUAACAGUCCGAAAGGACUGCUAAUACCGCAUGUGGUCAUUGGCUUUAGAAACCGAUGACUAAAGGAGCAAUUCGCUUUGGGAGGGACCUGCGUCCCAUCAGCUAGUUGGUGAGGUAAUGGCUCACCAAGGCGACGACGGGUAGGGGACCUGAGAGGGUGACCCCCCACAAUGGAACUGAAACACGGUCCAUACACCUACGGGUGGCAGCAGUAGGGAAUAUUGCACAAUGGGCGAAAGCCUGAUGCAGCAACGCCGCGUGUGUGAUGAAGGCCUUCGGGUCGUAAAGCACUUUUCUGGGAGAUGAGAAAGGACAGUAUCCCAGGAAUAAGUCUCGGCUAACUACGUGCCAGCAGCCGCGGUAAUUC